RNAcentral lists this transfer RNA (71 nucleotides) under Araneus ventricosus. RNAcentral describes it as "tRNA-Glu". The record is from RNAcentral. Lineage: Eukaryota; Metazoa; Arthropoda; Arachnida; Araneae; Araneidae.
UCCCCGGCGGGGAAUCGAACCCCGGUCUCCUGCGUGAAAGGCGGGGAUACUGACCACUAUCCUCGUCACGG